RNAcentral lists this ribosomal RNA (404 nucleotides) under uncultured bacterium. RNAcentral's name for it is "bacterial SSU rRNA". It matches the Rfam family "Bacterial small subunit ribosomal RNA", at positions 356 to 774 of the family's 1533-position model. The record is from RNAcentral.
GGGGAAUAUUGCGCAAUGGGGGAAACCCUGACGCAGCAACGCCGCGUGCAGGAAGAAGGUCUUCGGAUUGUAAACUGUUGUCGCAGGGGAAGAAGACAGUGACGGUACCCUGUGAGAAAGUCACGGCUAACUACGUGCCAGCAGCCGCGGUAAUACGUAGGUGACAAGCGUUGUCCGGAUUUACUGGGUGUAAAGGGCGCGUAGGCGGGAUAGCAAGUCAGUCGUGAAAUGCCGAGGCUUAACCUCGGAGCUGCGAUUGAAACUGUUAUUCUUGAGUAUCGGAGAGGAAAGCGGAAUUCCUAGUGUAGCGGUGAAAUGCGUAGAUAUUAGGAGGAACACCAGUGGCGAAGGCGGCUUUCUGGACGACAACUGACGCUGAGGCGCGAAAGUGUGGGGAGCAAACA